UUCACUGACACGCAAAAUAAAACACAACAAUAAAAAAUGUAAUAAACGUGCCGACUGUGCAACGUCACUUCCGUACAGAAAUCUGCUCGAAAGUACCACGCGCGAGCGGAGGAGACCAAAAGACUAGACAGGAGGUCUGCAGCCAUACCCGAUACCGCAGGCAGCUCAUCUCUGCUAUUUUGGCAUUGUGGGAUAGCUCGCCGGACUACUUUCGCCUGAUCCAGCGCUGAAUUUGCAGACAUGAGAAGAUGCUGCUGGAUGAGUUGGGAAAUGCCUUUGAUUUGUCACUAUAAAGCCGACGGAGACGUUUUUGAGCGACACUGCAGUCACAGACAGAUAUUUUCCUGCUGGACAGAGUGUCCUGUCUGUCUUCAGGGAGCCACUGAGUCUCUCUUCAUGGUGAUGAGAUUCAUCUCCAGCAGAAUGAUAUGACUGACAACUUAAAGAACGCUGAUGAGGUGCAGCAUGCUGGUUCCACGGUGACAUUAUUCUGUGUUGAAGUGACUGAACGUGCUGAUGGACACUGAGACUCGACAAACAGCAGGAGAAUCACUCAUUUACAAUAUAAUAGAAUAUCCUUUACUGUCAUUGUACUAGUACAAUUAAAUCAUUGGUGUCCCUCUGUGACAUCAGUACAACACAUUUAAUAAUAUUUUAUCUGACACAUUCUGUGAAAUGGAUGCAAAGGACAGUGGAAGAAGGAACAACAAGCUCUGCUGACAUAACCACACUGAUCUACAAAAAACAAACCAAACAAAGGCAAAGACACUUGAAAUAACAGUUUAAUUUUACUUGAUUGUUUUAGUUCCCCAUGACCUGGUCCUGGAUAAGCCGUUGAAGAUGAGAUUAUUUUUUAUUCAGAUUCAUAUGAGCAGGACAAAAGAUCACGUUCUUGCUCAGGUUGUUGUUAUUGUGACUCUUUAAAACUGAACAAAACUGGAAAAGUGUGUGAGUGUGUGUGACAGAGAGAAGAAAUUGAAUUAAGCUAGGUUAAUAGAAGAUGGCAGCAGCGCAAACUAUAGGUUCUUCUUAAAACUGAUAAACAUGUAUUGCACACAUAGGGUUUAUGUAGACUCUUUCCUGCUUAUAUAUGCACCAAAUAAUUUUUUUUGUAUUAUUUUUGCUUGCCAAAAAUAAAGGAUUUUUUUUAAUCAUUGAAAAAUGGUUAAUUUUUUAUUAUUAUUGUAACAAUGAAUUAAAACAUUCCUAUCAAAAACAGUCAGCAUAAAUAAUAGAAAUUAAAUUAAAUAGAAAUGUUAUGACCCGCAACCUGCUCCUGGAUAAGUGGUUGAAGAUGAAUGAGUGAAUGAGAAACAUUAUGACUAAAAAUGGCAGAAAAAGUUGAGUUUUAUGUGUGGAUUGAAAAGACUGAAAAAGUUCUCCAUCCUGUCAUCUUCUUAGCGACUUUCAUAGCACGGACUAAAACCUGCAUCUCAAGACUGUGAUCCCUCAUGAGGGAACAAAUUCAGUGAGAUAAGAAGGCACACAUAUUGUGAAUAAUCUGGUGAAGUCCUGUAGAUUUUUAGUUGGUGGGGGGUGUAGCCAGAAAAAACAAACAAAAAAAUUACAUACAGUUUUUUGUGGCUGCCUGAAAAGCUGCAGAUUUGCAAUGUCAGAAGCAUACAGUGAGCAUCUUUUUCAGCACCGACAGCAGUGUGACGGCUCUCAGAUUUGUUAGCGGUCCUCUCAGGUUUUCAGGGUUGUCUUGUGGUGUUAUGAUACAUUUUAUGAUACCUUCUUUGAUUUCAUUUGGGUGUUGUCUGUCCCUCUUGUCUUUGUAGAAGUAUAAUUUUUUUCUUUUCGUUUGCUGUUGCUUUUACUGCUUUGAACAUCCUAUGGGAAGCAUUUCUUCAUUGUUUAUAUAUAUAUAUAUCUAUAGAUAUAUCUAUACAAAAUAACAAAGUAUUACUUUUGGAUUUAGAAUGUGCUGACUGACAAGACACAGUCAAGAAUUUCAGUUGCCUGGUUGCACUUCUGUUUUUCAGGUGACUCCCCAAGGACUUUUCUGGCCUUCACUUUCCCAUAGUGCUUCACUGCCAACUUCUACUGUGGACUUUAUGAAGAGGACUUGUUCUGAUUAAUUGGCUGCACACACAUUUAUGAUAGUGCAUGUUCCAACAUAAGACAUGUGAUUUUACAAAAAGCUUUUCUCACAUGGUAACCACAGAACAACAAAUAAAUUCAUGAUUUAACCUGUUAUUUUUAUUAUUAUAUUAUUUAUUUUAUUAUUUUGAAAUUAGAUAAGGCAGGCAAGUUCUAAAACUGCAUGUGCACCAGUGCACAUGCACUGUCAUUGAGGUGACUUGUAUAAAGGAAUUGAGCGUUCCAAGCAUGUUGUCCCUUACCAAAAAGUAGUAUAUGCAAGUAUGUUUCAAUUAUACUUCUAGUUUACUUUUAUAUACUUAUCAGUACUAUUUUUUGGUAAGGGGUGUUCUUUUGAAGUUAGUCACAUUUCUCAUAUCUGCUGUAUUUGGCUGUCUGACAGUUCUCUGUGGAAUUAUGAUUUUUUUUUUCUUAUUGAAGUGAAUCGAUAAAUUGAUUUGAAUUUGACUGGUGUCUUAACAAAAGAUUGUUACUUUUGGAGCCUAAUCACUCAAAUCUGCCUUGAAUGAAAGUUGAAAACUGGUCACUUUUACCUUCGUGUGAGAUUCAUAACAAUGUUCAUAUUAGUCUCCUGUGACCACAUGUGAUGUGUCCUUUGUUUGUUGUUUUUUAGUCUUUGCUUUCUAUUUCCACUUUAUUCAGUGUUACAACAGCACAUCAACUUAAAUUAAAAAAUCCUAAGAUAAAUAAUAAAAAAAGGAAAGUCAAAGGUUUUGGCAUGUAAUGUCGUAUACGCAGACAAGUAUUUAUUUUCAAAGAUCAACAGUGCAAUCAACAUAUUUACAUCAAUGUGGAACCAAGACUGGAAACGAGUAAGUUUGUUUGAAUAAAUG
Long non-coding RNA from Thalassophryne amazonica, 2936 nucleotides. RefSeq lists it as uncharacterized. The transcript is spliced from 4 exons. The record is from RefSeq and is a predicted model, not a curated record. NCBI's taxonomy places the organism in Eukaryota, Metazoa, Chordata, Actinopteri, Batrachoidiformes, Batrachoididae.